RNAcentral lists this ribosomal RNA (422 nucleotides) under uncultured bacterium. RNAcentral describes it as "bacterial SSU rRNA". It matches the Rfam family "Bacterial small subunit ribosomal RNA", at positions 63 to 513 of the family's 1533-position model. The record is from RNAcentral.
CGGACACUAGAGCGAUUACAUCAAUUUUGUGUUAGUGGCAGACGAGGUAGUAACACGUAGGAACCUCCUCUUAAGUCGGGAAUAACUAGUCGAAAGAUUGGCUAAUACUCGAUGUGAUCUCCGGAUCAAAGUCGCAAGACGCUUAGGAAAGGGCCUGCGGGCUAUCAGCUAGAUGGUAGGGUAAUGGCCUACCAUGGCUAUGACGGCUAGGGGAGCUGAGAGGCUGACCCCCACCGAUGGGACUGAGACACGGCCCAUACACCUACGGGUGGCUGCAGUCGAGAAUCUUCCGCAAUGGACGAAAGUCUGACGGAGCGACGCCGCGUGAUGGAUGAAGUCCCUCUGGGACGUAAACAUCUUUUGUCGAGGAGAAAGUUUUGAUAGUACUCGAAGAAUAAGGGGUUGCUAAACUCGUGCCAGCA